RNAcentral lists this long non-coding RNA (487 nucleotides) under Danio rerio (zebrafish). Its description in RNAcentral is "si:ch211-250i3.3 (ENSDARG00000098006.3)". The record is from RNAcentral. Lineage: Eukaryota; Metazoa; Chordata; Actinopteri; Cypriniformes; Danionidae.
GAUUUACUACGGUUUUGUGUGUUUUGGAAGCUUCAGAAAUGACAAUACCCAACAUCACUACACAGCAUGCAAGAGCCAGAUUAAAACACAAACCUACUCCGACUGUGUUUGAAUGAAGAAAGCAUAAACACAGAGGAUGGCUUGAAGAUCUCAGCUCCGUCAUCUUUCAUUCUUUGACUAGCUGGAUUCAUCAAGCUAUAAACCUUAUUAUGAAAGAAAUGGCUAGUGGUGGAAACAUCCUGUGAAUAUUCCUUCAUCCAGCUAAUCUCAGAGGAGGAACCACACAUCUGCUUAUGGAGACAUGACUCAGUGAAAGAAAUGCUGACUGAUACUGACCUUGACUCAAAGGAGAGGUGUGUGUGUCUGGAAGAUGUCUGGGUUUUGUCAGGGUGAAUCUGUUUCAAUUUGACCACAGAUUUAAAACCGUAUGACCUCUGUAGUAUUUAGACUUAUGAUCAUGAUGAAAUAAAGGUAUGAUCAAAAUGUG